This 429-nucleotide ribosomal RNA is filed under the name uncultured bacterium. RNAcentral describes it as "bacterial SSU rRNA". It matches the Rfam family "Bacterial small subunit ribosomal RNA", at positions 958 to 1392 of the family's 1533-position model. The record is from RNAcentral.
AACGCGAAGAACCUUACCAGGUCUUGACAUCGUAUGCAUAGCUCAAAGAUGAGUGAAAUCCCUUCGGGGACAUAUAGACAGGUGGUGCAUGGUUGUCGUCAGCUCGUGUCGUGAGAUGUUGGGUUGAGUCCCGCAACGAGCGCAACCCUUACUGUUAGUUGCUACGCAAGAGCACUCUAGCAGGACUGCCGUUGACAAAACGGAGGAAGGUGGGGAUGACGUCAGAUCAUCAUGCCCCUUAUGACCUGGGCCUCACACGUACUACAAUGGCUAUAAACAAAGUGAAGCAAAGUCGCGAGGCGGAGCAAAACACAAAAAAUAGUCUUAGUUCGGAUUGUAGGCUGCAACCCGCCUACAUGAAGUCGGAAUUACUAGUAAUCGCGGAUCAGCAUGCCGCGGUAAAUACGUUCCCGGGUCUUGUACACACCG